UGAAUUUUCAUUACCAAACAACAUAAUUUCCAAUUCCGAAUUUUGUUUUCGAAAAAAAGGAAAAAAUUUUCAUGGCCAGACGGGCCCAAAAUUUCAGCCGCAUCUAAUUGUCUUUUCUCUCUCGCUCUCUCUAAACUCCGGCCGCCUUCCUCACAGUCGGCGACGUCCUUCAUCACCACCUCUCCUUCCUCCUCCGAUUGUCAAAGUUGUCCGCAUCACCACCGCCGACAACCAAAGAGCCAGCGAAAUCUCCCCCAGCUGCUGCCUCCCUCCUUCAGAGGUUGAUGCUUCAAAUGCUGAUUUGUAUGCCCAGUUGCAGAAUGAGUGACAUAAAAAUAAGAGGAUGAGAAAGGAAUUGGACUUGUUGAUGAAGCAUGUAUACAAGAAAUCACCUUCAAAUGAUGAACACUCAUCUCAAGAAGACAACCAAGCUUAUGAGGAUGAAAGUGAUGAUGACUCUGAUGACGUGAAUGAAAGUGAUUCUAAUCAUGAUAACAUGGAUGAAAGUGAUUCUGACCAUGAUGGUUGAUAGUUUUAUUGAGGAUUCAAGUUUGAAAUAUUUUGUUUUCGACCAUUUAAGAAUCAUACAUUAUUGAUGUGGAUAUUAUGAAUUAUGUUUUUUUGUAACUGUAAUAAUUUACAUUAGACUUGUAUUGAAUGAUGUUUUUGAUAAUUAUUGACGGUUUUGAAUA
Molecule: long non-coding RNA, 692 nt
Organism: Capsicum annuum
Lineage: Eukaryota; Viridiplantae; Streptophyta; Magnoliopsida; Solanales; Solanaceae
Exons: 2
Source: RefSeq, a predicted model, not a curated record